This 904-nucleotide long non-coding RNA is filed under the name Anser cygnoides (Swan goose). Its description in RNAcentral is "lncRNA (ENSACDG00005011713.1)". Lineage: Eukaryota; Metazoa; Chordata; Aves; Anseriformes; Anatidae. The record is from RNAcentral.
UUGAAUUUGAGGACCCAAAAUAAAAGAAGGGGGGGGGAGGGAAACAGGAAAUACAAAUUGAAACUAAAAAGGAGACUUGAAGAAGCCCAAGACAAAUGGAAAGUCUGAGCUUUGCUGGGGUGCCUUCAGCUGUGACGAUAUGAAGCUCGAGCUAAACCCGGUGUGGAGAACUGUACUUCAUGCAGCAGAAACAGAAGAGCCUUCCUCAGGGGAAUGGGAAAAGUCAUCAGAGAUGUGAAACUGCUCAUGAGUUGUGGUUGCAGAAAAGGGAAAAAUGCUCAAGUGAAAGACUCGGAUCAGGUGUGUGGUUUUUAUACCAUGAGCUAUAUAAAGGAUUGGGACUAGCCACCUACAUUCUGGCUGAAGCUUUGGAGAGUUCUAUUGCUGAUGAUUUCAUUUACUGCUAUUUCUCCAAUGUGCCUCUGGAAGUUGCAGUGGGAACAGAGGAACAGCAUUCCCCUACCGUGGAGGCUUCCCCAAGGGUGAAGUCCAGCAGCAGUGCAGACAUCGGCGACACCGCUGGGAGCCAGAUGAAGACUUUGGGAAGAGAGUGUGGGUUCCCUGUGCAGAGUCCAGUGACGAAAUCUGUGAACAAGGUAAGAGCAAGGGGUUGUGGCUGUGAAGGGUUUUCUUGCUUCCUUUUCCCCUUCCAAACCCGUUAUCGAAGCGUUAGACAUGAAAUGUAGGAUGUGUGUAGCACAGGAACUGAUAUUCCAAGUGCUAAGUGAAAGAGCCUAAAAAGAUCAAGCUAAAUAGGGCUUCUUUUUAAUGCAUUCCAUUAUGGUGGUUUGGGUUUUAGAACAGUUUGUAUUGUAUCCAAAUGAUCUACAUGUGAAUAAUUGUUACCAGCCUCCUGACACCAGGACCUAAUUAGGAAGUAAGAGCCUUAAAUAGGCCAUUUGCA